GCUGCUGUAUGGGGGGAAAGGGAUGCACGCUCUGGAGCUGUCCCUGAAACGCUGCACUCAGGACAAGGAUGGUUCCUCUCUUCUGUGCCUCUGAAAUGAAUGAGGAGAGCUGUGCUGGCAGAAAACCCACUGGAGUUGUGACUCCGUUCACAGAGUAAACCAGGCAAAUCCUGAUAACCAGGGCAGUAAUUACACCUACCAUCUCCUCCUUCCAGAGCAGCUGCCUGGUGAUUCCUAUCAAACUGAAAAAUGCUGGCUGUAUGUCAAGAAAAAAGAGAAGGCAGAGUUUGGUGUACUUUGGGAGCACCCAGAGUUACUGGGGAUGUGAAUUUCUUCUCCAAGGGU
Non-coding RNA from Lonchura striata (white-rumped munia), 345 nucleotides. The record is from RefSeq and is a predicted model, not a curated record. NCBI's taxonomy places the organism in Eukaryota, Metazoa, Chordata, Aves, Passeriformes, Estrildidae.